Molecule: ribosomal RNA, 256 nt
Filed under: uncultured bacterium
Lineage: Bacteria
Description: partial 16S ribosomal RNA
Rfam family: Bacterial small subunit ribosomal RNA
Source: RNAcentral
GACGUAGGUGGCGAACGUUAUCCGGAAUCAUUGGGCGUAAAGGGUGCGUAGAUGGCAUGAUAAGUUAGUAGUGGGAAAUCGAGGCUCAACCUCGUGGAAGCUAGUAAUACUGUUUUGCUUGAGUACAGAAGAGGUUAACGGAACUCCAUGUGGAGCGGUAAAAUGCGUAGAUAUAUGGAAGAACACCAAUAACGGCGAAGGCAGUUAACUAUUCUGUUACUGACAUUGAGGCACGAAAGCGUGGGGAGCAAAACGG